AAAUCACUGCUUGAUUUUUCACGGAUACCUGUGUGCUGUGGCUAUUCCUUCUUUAUCUACCUUUCUAGCUAUCUUUAUCAAAGUUUCCAAACCAAGGUGCCUCCAGCUCUGUUAUAUAUAUUAGCAUCUGUGACAUGUAUCAGGAACAUGUUAUCAUACCUGUGUCUUUUUACAGGUGACUGAUGCCCGAUGAGAAGGUGAACGUGACAUAUACCCUCGUCAGCUACAAGAAAGGACAGGUGACUGAUGCCCGAUGAGAAGGUGAACGUGACAUAUACCUUUGUCAGCUUCAAGAAAGGAACCACAAGACAGGUUACUGAUGCCCGAUGAGAAGGUGAACGUGACAUAUACCUUUGUCAGCUUCAAGAAAGGAACCACGAGACAGGUGACUGAUGCCCGAUGAGAAGGUGAACGUGACAUAUACCUUUCUCAGCUUCAAGAAAGGAACCACGAGACAGGUGACUGAUGCCCGAUGAGAAGGUGAACGUGACAUAUACCUUUCUCAGCUUCAAGAAAGGAACCACGAGACAGGUAAUUAAU
This is a long non-coding RNA of Hyla sarda, 540 nucleotides long. RefSeq lists it as uncharacterized. The record is from RefSeq and is a predicted model, not a curated record. Lineage: Eukaryota; Metazoa; Chordata; Amphibia; Anura; Hylidae. The transcript is spliced from 5 exons.